AAGUCGUAACAAGGUUUCCGUAGGUGAACCUGCGGAAGGAUCAUUAUUGAGAGCGGGUGCUUUUGCGCCCAACCUCCAACCCUUUGUUAAAAACACUUUGUUGCUUUGGCGGGUCCGUCCUCUCGGGGACCGCCGGAGGGGUUCAGUCACCUCUGGUCCGUACCUGCCAGUAGCCAAAUCAAAUUCUUUAUAAUUAUGUCGUCUGAUUUCUUAAUUAAAUUAAUUAAAA
This 229-nucleotide unclassified non-coding RNA is filed under the name plant metagenome. Its description in RNAcentral is "partial contains small subunit ribosomal RNA and internal transcribed spacer 1". The stretch from base 1 to 46 matches the Rfam family "Eukaryotic small subunit ribosomal RNA", at positions 1786 to 1831 of the family's 1831-position model. The record is from RNAcentral.